UUUAGCUUAUUCAAGUCUUAACAGUCUCCUUGCCCCAGUGAUCAUGGAGCAGGCUCCCAAUGUGACCGUGUUUGUCCCGCCGCCCCGAGACACCUUCCUCGACUCUGGAGAAUCCAAACUCACCUGCCAGGCCAUGGGCUUCAGCCCCAAGCAGAUCACAGUGUCCUGGUUAUAGGAUAGAAAGCCUGUGGGGUCUGGCUUCAUCACAGACCAGAUGUUGGCUGAGAACACAGUCUCCCAGCCCCUGACCUUCAAGGUUACCAGCACACUGACCAUCCCCGAGGUCGACUGGCUGGCCCAGAAGGUGUUCACCUGCCGCAUGGACCACAAGUCAGGCACCUUCAAGAAGAAUGUGUCCUCCUCCGUGUGUAUCCCCACAACUCCAUCCACAGACAUCGAAGUCUUCCUCAUCCCACCCUCUUGCUGGCACCUUCCUAAACAAGUCUGCCAAGCUGACCUGCCUGGUCACACUGGCCUGACCCACCGUGGAGGACUGAAUAUCUCCUGGGCCAACCAGGAUGGCAAGGACCUGCUAACCAAAAUCACAGAUCCUGUGAGCCAACCUAACGGCACCCUCAGUGUCAUGGGUGAGGCCAGUGCCUGUGUGGAAGAGUGGGACUCUAGGAAGGCAUUCAUGUGCACUGUGAUCCACCAGGACCUGCCCUUCCCAAUGAAGAAGACCAUCUCCAAGCACACAGAGCAAGCCAAGCACCCACCUGCCGUGUAUGUGCUGCCCCCAGCCCGGGAACAGCUGGUCCUGCACGAACAGGCCACUGUCUUCUGCCUGGUGAAGGGCUUUGCACCUGCAGACUUCUUUGUGCAGUGGCUACAGAGUGGGCAGACCUUGUCCUCAGACAGGUAUGUGACCAGCGCCCCGAUGCCUGAGACCCAGUCUCCAGGUUUCUACUAUGCCCACAGCCUGCUGACAGUGACAGAGGAGGACUGGAGCUCAGGAGAGACCUUCACCUGUGUCGUGGGCCACGAGGCCCUGCCCCACAUGGUGACUGAGAGGACCGUGGACAAGUCCACUGAGGGGGAGGCGAACGCCAAAGAAGAGGGCUUCGAGAACCUGUGGACCACUGCGUCCACCUUCAUCGUGCUCUUCCCGCUGAGCCUGUUCUAUAGCACUACAGUCACCCUGUUCAAGGUGAAGUGACCCAGCGGUGAGAAGACCCUGGAGACCAAGAGCCUCAGCUGGUGUGUCCU
Fukomys damarensis (Damara mole-rat) is the source of this 1206-nucleotide non-coding RNA. Lineage: Eukaryota; Metazoa; Chordata; Mammalia; Rodentia; Bathyergidae. The record is from the annotation of a RefSeq genome assembly.